GAUGAACGCUCGCGGGAGGCCUAACACAUGCAAGCCGAGCGGUAUUGUUUCUUCGGAAAUGAGAGAGCGGCGUACGGGUGCGGAACACGUGUGCAACCUGCCUUUAUCUGGGGGAUAGCCUUUCGAAAGGAAGAUUAAUACUCCAUAACAUAUUGAACGGCAUCGUUCGAUAUUGAAAGCUCCGGCGGAUAGAGAUGGGCACGCGCAAGAUUAGCUAGUUGGUGAGGUAACGGCUCACCAAGGCGAUGAUCUUUAGGGGGCCUGAGAGGGUGAUCCCCCACACUGGUACUGAGACACGGACCAGACUCCUACGGGAGGCAGCAGUGAGGAAUAUUGGUCAAUGGGUGCAAGCCUGAACCAGCCAUCCCGCGUGAAGGACGACUGCCCUAUGGGUUGUAAACUUCUUUUGUAUAGGGAUAAACCUGCCCUCGUGAGGGUAGCUGAAGGUACUAUACGAAUAAGCACCGGCUAACUCCGUG
This 479-nucleotide ribosomal RNA is filed under the name uncultured bacterium. RNAcentral's name for it is "partial 16S ribosomal RNA". It matches the Rfam family "Bacterial small subunit ribosomal RNA", at positions 28 to 507 of the family's 1533-position model. The record is from RNAcentral.